AGCACGUGAUCACAUUUGGAGAAGCGCACGACUGGGCAACCGUUACUGACACUUUCCGUCACGUUCACACUUGCGAUGUUCAUUUGCAACACAUUGUCUUUUAAAUCCUUCAACACUUGACUAAAGUGUUUAGGUAUCCAUAUUGGAGGAAUGUAGGCGAAUUUUCCCCUUUUGGUACACGUCCAGCUGUCAUAACCUGUGUUAUACAACACCACGUGUUAUUAGACGUGUUCGCGGGAAUCAGUAGCGUAACUAUCUCCAAAACCUUUUUUUCCUCCUCCAGGUAGAAUUUAAAAUCUUCUUGACUGUCCAAAUUAAAAUGCACAGAAAAUGAAGUCCAUUUAACU
Long non-coding RNA from Gigantopelta aegis, 347 nucleotides. RefSeq lists it as uncharacterized. The record is from RefSeq and is a predicted model, not a curated record. The transcript has 2 exons. NCBI's taxonomy places the organism in Eukaryota, Metazoa, Mollusca, Gastropoda, Neomphalida, Peltospiridae.